Gadus morhua (Atlantic cod) is the source of this 3605-nucleotide long non-coding RNA. The record is from Ensembl. Lineage: Eukaryota; Metazoa; Chordata; Actinopteri; Gadiformes; Gadidae.
AUGGGGGGGGGGGCACCAGGCGGUCGUCAUAGAAACCGAGGAGGAGGAGGAGGGCAGCAUGGGAACCAGAUGAGCGGCAGCCAGGACCCCGGCUCCCAGCCCUACUCCCAGGGGCCCAUCCCCCAGGGUUACGUCAACAUGAGCCAGUGGAGGCAGCCGGGCCCGUCUGGCCUGUCCCCGUCUGGCCUGUCCCACCCCCUCCUGUCCCCUCCGCUCCUGUCCCAGCCGGGCCCGUCUGGCCCGUCCCACCCCCUCCUGUCCCCUCCGAUCCUGUCCCAGCCGGGCCUGUCCCACCCCCUCCGUCCCCUCCGCUCCUGUACACUCCACUCCUGUCCACUUCGCUCCUGUCCCAGCCGGGCCUGUCCCAGCCCGAGGCUUCACAGGUGCUAGACUGCGAGCGACAAGGUUAACGCUGAAUUCUUGACGGGUGCUCUCUUAAGCCAGUGAAGGAUGGAUUUUGGGUGGAAAAGACAACGACAACCCGAGUACAGCUGGACACGAGGAGAGCAAGAGCGGAAGCUGCACGGCUUCCAAUGGGAGGAUACCGCGAAGGAGAAAGCCGUCCACCGAGAAGCAGAGUUGGACCGGGUCACAUUGACCUUUGGUAAAACGGAGGGCGGAAGGUCACAUGUUGGCUGAGUGGGAGAUAGGGGACAGCCCUAUCUCUCACGAGGGGGGGGGGGUCGGAGGGGGGGGGCAGGGCGGGGAGGGGGUGGUGUGUCCUUCAAAGCACGUUUGGUGAGCUUGCUCCAAAAAGGGGAGAAGGAAGAGUGAGUAGAGCUGCUCAGUGCCACACUACUCAAAGUGCACUCAAACAGCAGGACUUCCCCCGGCUACAGAGGGAGACACAGAGAGGCCGGAGGGGGACGGGACUCAGGGCAAUCAGCCGACAUGGGAACCCUCUUUUGAACGUUUUGUUGGCCUUUUGAACGUCUGAGUUAGAGAGGACUUUUUGUGCUGGUAGCGCUGCAGAUUUAAGGAGAUAAACAUCUGAGGGAGAAAAUGUAUAGUCUCUAAUUAUGUGCGGUGCAUCGUCGAAUAUGAGUUGGAAAUGUCUCGGCAUGCAGCCUGUCUUUGUUAAGAUUCUAAUAUACGGCAAGUGAACGUCAUGGGCCAUCAAUCUGGGAGGUCUUAAAGCGCUUUAUAAAAUAGAAGAUUUUCAUUGAUAUAUUUCACACCGUUUAGUCUUCAAACUCCAAGCAGUAGACCAGAAGGAUCUGUGACAAUUCGAUUUUGGAUAUCUAGAUAUAUAUUUCACCAAUGACACCAAAAGCUGCAGCAAGUAAAUAGACACCAUCAAUAUUGUGUUAAGAGUUAAGAGAAGUUCAUGUUUUUCAUCAUUUGAAAAUGAUUAGCCAACCUUGAGUGAAUUCACGUGAAACUGGCCCAGAAUCACCAUUUUCCGCACAGGCAGAAUGAUGACGAAGCUUACAUCAACAGAAUAACCCAAAGGAAGAAUAUUGCCAAAAGGUCCAAAAGUAGUGAUUGAAUAAAUGGAGACGUUUAUUGAUGUAAAGUAAAGGUACAGUGAAAUGCAUGUUAAUUCAUUGUGAUGACCCUUGGCUCGGCCUUAUAGUGACCACUUUGAGUUGUGUCCACUUGUUGACUAUAAAGGAAGAGGGCAGAAGUGUUGAGACACAAGUUUCAGAGUCCCAGUUUUGGCCUUCACAGAAUACCUCUGAAAAAUAGAUGAGAAACCUCCAAGUGACUGAAUCUGGUUGAAUCUUCAUGAAGGAGGUCAGGUAGUAGCGGACUCACACUGUUUGAAGGCAGGGGCGAAAAAAUAAAAAGGGCACAUUCUGCACAACAUGGGGCCCCACCAAGUGUGCAAAAAGCUAUGAUGCAUCACGUAUGGCACUUUCUCUCGUAUUCACCACUCUGUAAGGGCAUUAAGAGGGCACUCAUUGAGGCACGUUAUCGAAUUAUCUUGUUGUAGAAGGCUCAUCAUCAUAAUUUAUUGUAUGAAGGGGCACCAGAGGGCACCCAAUAAUUCUUUUCACAUGUAAAGGGCAGCCAAUAAGGCACUUUUCUCUCUCGCCACUCUUGAGGGCACUAUUUCAACCAUGGAGGCCCCCCCCCCCCCCCCUGAGUCCGCCACUGAGGUCAGGAAUAGAAUCGGCACUGAGUUGACUGUUCUCUUUCCACAUUGGGCACCGGAAAUCCUUAUUUGAUGGCAGUCGAUAGAUUUAGAUCAUAUCCUGCUUUAUUUAGAGCAGAGUUGGAAGAGUUAGUUUAGUUGCCUGUGGUUUCGUUCUCCCUGUUUGGACGCCUCAAGCUCAUGAAACAGAAGAGAUAAUCGAUUGAAGCGGACAAAACAAAGUUACACCCUACUGUCACCAUCCUGCUGUGUAGAAGUAGUGUGCUCAUUAUAAAUAACAACAUCCCACUGUUAUUCGAUUAUAACAUAAAAAAAAAUGAUAUUGUACAUAUUUAUGUCUGAUAGACAAUCCUAUGUUAAAUGUUUGAAUAAGAUCCACCCAUUCAAUUGAUUUGAACCUUGUGUAGUGGAUGCAGCCAGGAACAGAACUGCAACUAACAGAGUGCAUGUAGGUACAGUAGCAUAACCACGGUAUUGAUGACGCUGCAGGAGCUUAGUUUCUCACUACUGAAUAUCUGUUUUUCUGCCGGUACCUGUAGGGAGUGUUCUCUAGUGACCCACGUGUCUAUUUCCUGCGUAGUGCCUGACCUUUUGCGUGGAUAUAUAUAGAGCAUAAUUUGCUUAUAUUGUAGCAACCAGAAGCAUUCUGCUUUGUCAUGUCCCACUACGACCACAUCCAGAAGGGCCAUUUAUUUAUCUUUACUGCUGACGGUGUGAUUUGAAUAGAUUUAGUGUGCUUCGGGUAGAAAACAAAAAAAAAAAACUCUUGAAAUGCCUCUUUUUGUUAGUUACUGCACGUAAAAAAAAAAAAGACGGCUUGAAAUGUAGCCAAUUUCAGUUGAAUAAUGUUUGGUGAUCAAAAUGACACACUGUAAUUGAUAUACAAUAAAGGAUCGGAUUCCUAAUUGUUCUGAUACUCGUCGGGUUCCCGUCAGUCAUUCAUCGGCCUAACAAUAAUAAUCAGAAUCAACGCAGCAAGACCGGACGCAUGUAGACUCCAAUAUGUUGGACUUCAAUAUUUUUUACCAUUCUUUAAAUACAGUCAUUGGUCAUAGGCUAGCCCAACGUUGCAUAUAGUUAGUGAAAACCAUGUCCCGAUGGGUUUGACAUGAGGCGCCAGUGAUCCAGCAGGUGGUGGUGUGGUGUCGACCAGGAGCCCGUAACUAAGCGCUACUGAAGCGCAGCUGCCUGCAACUCUCCUCCAGCCUCAGACCGUCUGGCUACUGCUACUGAUGCUGCUGCAGUCUGCAUCCCGGAUAAAACCCGUCCCAAGUCAUGUAGUUAUUACUUAGUACAUCACCAUUGACAAAAGAAGACAAAUCCACUGGCCGUUGAAGUUUGAAGCGUUCAAAGCAGCCGGGGGUAAAACAGCGGCUGCCUCUGGUCUGGUUAGGAUACUGGUCCACCGGGUAAUGGACGAGCACACUGAUCCACAGGGUCCUCAGCAUCUCGGAUGUUUUUACGCGGUCCUUCCAGUCAAAAAGACUCAAGUGACCGAAAAAAAUAA